UGGGGAAUUUUGGACAAUGGGCGCAAGCCUGAUCCAGCCAUGCCGCGUGCGGGAAGAAGGCCUUCGGGUUGUAAACCGCUUUUGUCAGGGAAGAAAUCUUCUGAGUUAAUACCUCGGGAGGAUGACGGUACCUGAAGAAUAAGCACCGGCUAACUACGUGCCAGCAGCCGCGGUAAUACGUAGGGUGCAAGCGUUAAUCGGAAUUACUGGGCGUAAAGCGUGCGCAGGCGGUUUUGUAAGACAGAGGUGAAAUCCCCGGGCUCAACCUGGGAACUGCCUUUGUGACUGCAAGGCUUGAGUGCGGCAGAGGGGGGAUGGAAUUCCGCGUGUAGCAGUGAAAUGCGUAGAUAUGCGGAGGAACACCGAUGGCGAAGGCAAUCCCCUGGGCCUGCACUGACGCUCAUGCACGAAAAGCGUGGGGG
RNAcentral lists this ribosomal RNA (422 nucleotides) under uncultured bacterium. RNAcentral describes it as "partial 16S ribosomal RNA". It matches the Rfam family "Bacterial small subunit ribosomal RNA", at positions 355 to 767 of the family's 1533-position model. The record is from RNAcentral.